GACAUAUAUUUAUACUUAAACUAUUGAUUCAUCAAUAAAAUAGACUUUUUCUAUCCAUUCUUGUCUAGUGUGUCCAAGAAUCAUCCUAAAAGUUCAUAAUUUAAAGAUAUAUAUUCUCAAAAAUUGAGACUUAGAGAUAUGUAUGAUUAAUUUUUAAAUUACUUUCGAUUGAUGGAUCAUCAUGAAGAUGGUGACUGAUCCAGU
Molecule: long non-coding RNA, 204 nt
Filed under: Elaeis guineensis (African oil palm)
Lineage: Eukaryota; Viridiplantae; Streptophyta; Magnoliopsida; Arecales; Arecaceae
Description: long non-coding RNA (EGUI_LNC052302)
Source: RNAcentral